RNAcentral lists this microRNA precursor (149 nucleotides) under Myotis lucifugus (little brown bat). Its description in RNAcentral is "miRNA (ENSMLUG00000020429.2)". The stretch from base 47 to 98 matches the Rfam family "mir-1302 microRNA precursor family". The record is from RNAcentral. Lineage: Eukaryota; Metazoa; Chordata; Mammalia; Chiroptera; Vespertilionidae.
AUACAUGAUGCCCGGUUCAAUUUGACUUCUGAUUAACAACAAAUAAUUUUUAGUACAAGUAUGUCCCAUGCAAUAUUUGAGACAUACUUAUACUAAAAAACUAUUUCUUGUUUAUCUAAAGUUCAAAUUCAACUGGCAUCCUGUAUUUU